This 360-nucleotide ribosomal RNA is filed under the name Stutzerimonas stutzeri. Its description in RNAcentral is "bacterial SSU rRNA". It matches the Rfam family "Bacterial small subunit ribosomal RNA", at positions 91 to 454 of the family's 1533-position model. Lineage: Bacteria; Pseudomonadati; Pseudomonadota; Gammaproteobacteria; Pseudomonadales; Pseudomonadaceae. The record is from RNAcentral.
UUCAGCGGCGGACGGGUGAGUAAUGCCUAGGAAUCUGCCUGGUAGUGGGGGACAACGUUUCGAAAGGAACGCUAAUACCGCAUACGUCCUACGGGAGAAAGUGGGGGAUCUUCGGACCUCACGCUAUCAGAUGAGCCUAGGUCGGAUUAGCUAGUUGGUGAGGUAAAGGCUCACCAAGGCGACGAUCCGUAACUGGUCUGAGAGGAUGAUCAGUCACACUGGAACUGAGACACGGUCCAGACUCCUACGGGAGGCAGCAGUGGGGAAUAUUGGACAAUGGGCGAAAGCCUGAUCCAGCCAUGCCGCGUGUGUGAAGAAGGUCUUCGGAUUGUAAAGCACUUUAAGUUGGGAGGAAGGGCA